RNAcentral lists this ribosomal RNA (440 nucleotides) under uncultured archaeon. Its description in RNAcentral is "bacterial SSU rRNA". It matches the Rfam family "Archaeal small subunit ribosomal RNA", at positions 19 to 458 of the family's 1478-position model. The record is from RNAcentral.
GGAGGUUACUGCUAUCGGUGUUCGCCUAACCCAUGCGAGUCAUAUGUUCUUCGUGAACAUGGCGUACUGCUCAGUAACACGUGAAUAACCUGCCCUUGGGACCGGCAUAACCCCGGGAAACUGGGGAUAAUUCCGGAUACCGCAUAUAUGCUGGAAUGCUUUAUGCGUGAAAUGGAUUCGUCUGCCCAAGGAUGGGUCUGCGGCCUAUCAGGUAGUAGUGGGUGUAAUGUACCUACUACCCUACAACGGGUACGGGUUGUGAGAGCAAGAGCCCGGAAAUGGAUUCUGAAACAUGAAUCCAGGCCCUACGGGGCGCAGCAGGCGCGAAAACUUUACAAUGCGGGAAACCGUGAUAAGGGGACACCGAGUGCCAGCAACAUUUGUUGGCUGUCCAGGUGUGUAAACUACACCUGUUAGCAAGGGCCGGGCAAGACCGGUGC